UCGAGCGAGCUUGCCUAGAUGAAUUUGGUGCUUGCACCAGAUGAAACUAGAUACAAGCGAGCGGCGGACGGGUGAGUAACACGUGGGUAACCUGCCCAAGAGACUGGGAUAACACCUGGAAACAGAUGCUAAUACCGGAUAACAACACUAGACGCAUGUCUAGAGUUUAAAAGAUGGUUCUGCUAUCACUCUUGGAUGGACCUGCGGUGCAUUAGCUAGUUGGUAAGGUAACGGCUUACCAAGGCAAUGAUGCAUAGCCGAGUUGAGAGACUGAUCGGCCACAUUGGGACUGAGACACGGCCCAAACUCCUACGGGAGGCAGCAGUAGGGAAUCUUCCACAAUGGACGCAAGUCUGAUGGAGCAACGCCGCGUGAGUGAAGAAGGGUUUCGGCUCGUAAAGCUCUGUUGGUAGUGAAGAAAGAUAGAGGUAGUAACUGGCCUUUAUUUGACGGUAAUUACUUAGAAAGUCACGGCUAACUACGUGCCAGCAGCCGCGGUAAUACGUAGGUGGCAAGCGUUGUCCGGAUUUAUUGGGCGUAAAGCGAGUGCAGGCGGUUCAAUAAGUCUGAUGUGAAAGCCUUCGGCUCAACCGGAGAAUUGCAUCAGAAACUGUUGAACUUGAGUGCAGAAGAGGAGAGUGGAACUCCAUGUGUAGCGGUGGAAUGCGUAGAUAUAUGGAAGAACACCAGUGGCGAAGGCGGCUCUCUGGUCUGCAACUGACGCUGAGGCUCGAAAGCAUGGGUAGCGAACAGGAUUAGAUACCCUGGUAGUCCAUGCCGUAAACGAUGAGUGCUAAGUGUUGGGAGGUUUCCGCCUCUCAGUGCUGCAGCU
This 832-nucleotide ribosomal RNA is filed under the name uncultured bacterium. RNAcentral's name for it is "bacterial SSU rRNA". It matches the Rfam family "Bacterial small subunit ribosomal RNA", at positions 49 to 853 of the family's 1533-position model. The record is from RNAcentral.